RNAcentral lists this small RNA (100 nucleotides) under Chrysemys picta bellii (western painted turtle). Its description in RNAcentral is "TUC338 (ENSCPBG00000007543.1)". Lineage: Eukaryota; Metazoa; Chordata; Testudines; Emydidae. The record is from RNAcentral.
UCCACAGAACUGGUGCAGCAUGGGAAGCAACAGUGCAAGCUUCCCUCUUCCUGCCCCAAAGAUAUCCUCAUCCCUGAACUGAAAAGUCCACCUGUAAGGA